Molecule: long non-coding RNA, 2860 nt
Filed under: Marmota monax (woodchuck)
Lineage: Eukaryota; Metazoa; Chordata; Mammalia; Rodentia; Sciuridae
Source: RNAcentral
GGUAUCCCUAGUCCUUAAAGUAGGGUCGGGCACACAGUCGGUGUUUGGUAUACUGGUUAAAUAAAUGAAUGAUCCUACAACAUUGAUGUAGGUGGUGCUGUGCAGCAGAACUUUUGGGAUGGUGGAACUGUUCUAUAAGUUGUGCUAUCUACUAUAGCAGCUACAUGCGACAGAUGGCUAUUGAGCACUUAAAAACGUGGCUAGUUUAAUGGAGGAACUAAACUUUAAAUUUUAAAUAAUUUAACUUUAAACAGCUCCAUGUGGCUGGUGAUUACCAUAUUGAACAGGAUGGUUAGCAGAGGAUGGGGGAAAACGUGUGUGUGGAAGGGGAAACAAGAACAUAAAACAGUGAUGUGCUUGGAAUGCCGAAAACGUUACCUAUGACUCCUGACCCAGGAAGUGAUUCAGGUAAGAGCACAUGGGCUGGGCAAGGCUUCCUAGGCUCUGGGUUCUUUGCAUUUUCCCCUUCAACCUGCUAAAGGCUGUGGCAGUAGCUGCUGAGAUGAAGAGAAUUGAGUUUCCAAUUCCAGGAGGAGAGACUGCAUUCCUCUCUUCAUGGACACCAGGACCAGUGGGAGAGGGACUGAUGGACAGCCAGCCAGGGACAAGUGCCCACAGAAUCCAAUGCAGUGAAGAGCUUCUCUCUCUCGGCUGAGCUGGCUUUCUGGGUCAUUCAACUGUUUCCAUUCAUUCAAAUAUUUCCUAAUGCUAACGCCAGCCCCUGCUUUCUUAUUUUCCUUUCCUAGGGGGCACUAAAUCAAAGACUGACCCUCGGGAUGGAGUUACGCCUUGACGUUCCUAGGCUGGCCACCGAAGAGAGGAAAUCUUCAGAGGAAAGGGCUGCCUUGCAAAAAUGAGAUGAUUAAAUGAGAGACAUUUGAUCUUAAUUAUUUUUAAAAAAGACGUGCCUUUUCUUUUCUACCCAGACUAGUGAAGAUUGCUGGUCACGUACGUGGUAUAAGGCCUCAAAUGAAGGCUUAAUAUUAUGCACUGCUUUGACAUCUGAUAAAUUCCGGAAAGCCUCAAAUGGCCUAAUCACAAGUUCCCUUCCUUACUGUGCUUCAUGGAUAAGGUCCCCUCCGUCAAACAGUCCUUAUCACAGGGAGCAGUCAGUGGAAUUAUUCAUACAAGUAUCAUGUCCUCCCAAGGGAACCAGGAACACCCAUCCCCUCUGGAUAGUAUAAAACCUGAGUGCUCAUGCCACCCCCAAGUAUGACCCCCACGAGUCCUUCAUGGUGCACAGAACCCUCAUCCCUGAGCUAUGAGUAAAUGUGAAGAGUGGACUCCCGUUGGCCUCAUCUAUCCAGUGUCAGGCGAAGUGCAUUUGGCCCUCCCCAUAGAUGCCCUAACCCCAGGGUGGCCACGGCUCCCUCACCAGCAAGGCACACUGGAAAUGAUUCAAACAGGUUAUAGAUGUUUUUAUUAAAUCUUCAUGAGUAAUUCAUCAGUUUCUGGUGGGUUAGAUAUCAUUUAUUGAUAUUUAGGAUGGUUCCUCUCCUUCUGAGUUCUCCCCUGCACUUCAGGGGCAUGAAGCCUAGAAACUGCUUUGUGGAGAGUCCCUUGCCAUCAGGAUUCCCAUUGGAUUCCACAUCAGAAACACCCGCGUGACAUGCAAGAUAAACCAUCAUUCUCUAGUAGCAGCUGAGGGACCGUGGUGGGCAAGAGAUGGAGGGUUUUGCCAGAGGAUCCUAAGUAUCCCCCAGAGAACCACCCAUGGGGCUGCAGGCUGUUCCUCUAUGACUUGUUCAUGUUCGAGUUUCUCAAAUUUGCCUUAGCAGAUAACUCUGUGUCCUGGCUCCUGCCUCUUGGCUUCACCUCUGAUUUCAGCCAUGACCACACAGUUCUGUAAUACACUUCAGCUCACAUCAUGCUGGCAGUGUCCCUGCUGAAGUUCAGGUGCAACUGCUCAUUUCCAUUCUCUGUUCUAGGUUCCUCCAACACUGCAGAUGCCACAGGAAUUAGUUGAGCCCACAUACCUGUGUGCAGCUUGGAAAGGCUGAGCUCAUAUUCCUGAGGUGAGGACCAUUCUUGGGAGCUAACAUAAAAACCCUCCAACCUUUCACACUUUGGGGAGACCAUUCUGGAAGAUACCUGUAUGCUUCUCAUUAGAGUCUGAGAGAAUCGAGUUUCUACUUCCCCAGUGCAGCCUCUGGAACAUGAGAUCAUGUUGGCAUUCCUCUUCCCCUCACUCUCUUACUGUUGUUCCUUGGGAUCAUCUUUCAGUUAAGCUCUCAGCUCAUAAGUCCUGACCGCAGACCCUGCUUUGGGAGGAUCCAAGCUACGACAGUGGCCUUCCUGACCUUCCCUUGCCCCACCUUCCAAAGGUUAUGUAAACUUUUAAUUCACUAGGCAUGGUAGCAAUGCCUGUAAUCCCAGUGAUUGGGGAGGCUAAGGGAGAAGGAUUGAAAGUUCAAGGACAGCCUGGGCAACUUAGCAAGACCCUGUCUCAAAAUAAAAUAGAAAGAGUUGGGGAUGUAGCUCAAGUGACAUAGAGUACCCCUGAGUUCAAUCCCCAGGACUUCGAACAAGAACAAAAAUACCUUUAAUCCCCUGUAUGAAAAUGUUUCCCGAAUGGAUGGAACGAGAGAUCAUCAUGCUGAGUGAAAUAAGCCAGACACAGAAAGUCAAGGGCUGUAUGUUUUCUCUCAUAUGUGGUAACAAGGUGGUGGAGGGGAGGGGUGGUGCUGGUGGUGGUUCAUGAUAAUAACAGAAGGAAAACAAGCCCAAUAAUAGAGGAGCAGAAGAUGGGGAUGGAUGUGUGAAAUCAAAAUGUGUUAUGUGAUGUAUGAAUAUAUCACAGUGAACCCCAAUAUUAUGUAUAACUAUAAUAUAGCAAUAAAAAUUAAUAAGAGUUUUCCAU